GAUGAACGCUGGCGGCGUGCCUAAUACAUGCAAGUCGAGCGAACGGACGAGAAGCUUGCUUCUCUGAUGUUAGCGGCGGACGGGUGAGUAACACGUGGAUAACCUACCUAUAAGACUGGGAUAACUUCGGGAAACCGUAGCUAAUACCGGAUAAUAUUUUGAACCGCAUGGUUCAAAAGUUAAAGACGGUCUUGCUGUCACUUAUAGAUGGAUCCGCGCUGCAUUAGCUAGUUGGUAAGGUAACGGCUUACCAAGGCAACGAUGCAUAGCCGACCUGAGAGGGUGAUCGGCCACACUGGAACUGAGACACGGUCCAGACUCCUACGGGAGGCAGCAGUAGGGAAUCUUCCGCAAUGGGCGAAAGCCUGACGGAGCAACGCCGCGUGAGUGAUGAAGGUCUUCGGAUCGUAAAACUCUGUUAUUAGGGAAGAACAUAUGUGUAAGUAACUGUGCACAUCUUGACGGUACCUAAACAGAAAGCCACGGCUAACUACGUG
RNAcentral lists this ribosomal RNA (497 nucleotides) under uncultured bacterium. RNAcentral describes it as "partial 16S ribosomal RNA". It matches the Rfam family "Bacterial small subunit ribosomal RNA", at positions 28 to 507 of the family's 1533-position model. The record is from RNAcentral.